This 94-nucleotide transfer RNA is filed under the name Wenjunlia tyrosinilytica. Its description in RNAcentral is "tRNA-Ser". Lineage: Bacteria; Bacillati; Actinomycetota; Actinomycetes; Kitasatosporales; Streptomycetaceae. The record is from RNAcentral.
GCCGCCAGUGGCACGUGCGGGAGAAGCCGCUGCCGUUGGAGGCAGGAGGUGAACUGCCCGGUGUGCGGCUCGCGUUCGAAACCUGGGGGCGGCC